UACGUAGGGACCAAGCGUUGUUCGGAUUCAUUGGGCGUAAAGGGUGCGUAGGUGGCGAGGCAAGUCGGAUGUGAAAUCCCGGGGCUUAACCCCGGAACUGCAUUCGAUACUGCCUUGCUCGAGUACUGGAGAGGAGACUGGAAUUUACGGUGUAGCAGUGAAAUGCGUAGAUAUCGUAAGGAAGACCAGUGGCGAAGGCGAGUCUCUGGACAGUUACUGACACUGAGGCACGAAGGCCAGGGGAGCAAACGGG
RNAcentral lists this ribosomal RNA (253 nucleotides) under uncultured bacterium. Its description in RNAcentral is "partial 16S ribosomal RNA". It matches the Rfam family "Bacterial small subunit ribosomal RNA", at positions 524 to 776 of the family's 1533-position model. The record is from RNAcentral.